Molecule: ribosomal RNA, 408 nt
Filed under: Verrucomicrobiota bacterium
Lineage: Bacteria; Pseudomonadati; Verrucomicrobiota
Description: Verrucomicrobia bacterium partial 16S ribosomal RNA
Rfam family: Bacterial small subunit ribosomal RNA
Source: RNAcentral
UGGGGAAUAUUGCACAAUGGGCGGAAGCCUGAUGCAGCGACGCCGCGUGAGGGAUGACGGCCUUCGGGUUGUAAACCUCUUUCAGUAUGGACGAAGCGUAAGUGACGGUACCUGCAGAAGAAGCACCGGCUAACUACGUGCCAGCAGCCGCGGUAAUACGUAGGGUGCGAGCGUUGUCCGGAAUUACUGGGCGUAAAGGGUACGUAGGUGGUUUUUUAAGUCAGGUGUCAAAGCGUGGAGCUUAACUCCAUUAAGCACUUGAAACUGAAAGACUUGAGUGAAGGAGAGGAAAGUGGAAUUCCUAGUGUAGCGGUGAAAUGCGUAGAUAUUAGGAGGAAUACCGGUGGCGAAGGCGACUUUCUGGCCAUAAACUGACGCUGAGGUACGAAAGCGUGGGUAGCAAACAGG